RNAcentral lists this ribosomal RNA (508 nucleotides) under uncultured bacterium. RNAcentral's name for it is "bacterial SSU rRNA". It matches the Rfam family "Bacterial small subunit ribosomal RNA", at positions 8 to 518 of the family's 1533-position model. The record is from RNAcentral.
AGAGUUUGAUCAUGGCUCAGGAUGAACGCUGGCGGCGUGCUUAACACAUGCAAGUCGAACGAGGCACCUUGCGGAAGUUUCGGAUGGAAGCGGAGGCGACCGAGUGGCGGACGGGUGAGUAACGCGUGGGGAACCUGCCCAUUCCGGGGGAUACCAGUUGGAAACGACUGUUAAUACCGCAUAAGCGCACGGAAGGGCAUCCUUUUGUGUGAAAAACUGAGGUGGAAUGGGAUGGCCCCGCGUCUGAUUAGCCAGUUGGCAGGGUAACGGCCUACCAAAGCGACGAUCAGUAGCCGGCCUGAGAGGGCGACCGGCCACAUUGGGACUGAGACACGGCCCAAACUCCUACGGGAGGCAGCAGUGGGGAAUAUUGCACAAUGGGGGAAACCCUGAUGCAGCCGACGCCGCGUGAGUGAAGAAGUAUUUCGGUAUGUAAAGCUCUAUCAACAGGGAAGAAGAUGACGGUACCUGCACAAGAAGCCCCGGCUAACUACGUGCCAGCCGCUGC